This 73-nucleotide transfer RNA is filed under the name Mesocricetus auratus (golden hamster). It matches the Rfam family "tRNA". Rfam says of the family: Transfer RNA (tRNA) molecules are approximately 80 nucleotides in length. Their secondary structure includes four short double-helical elements and three loops (D, anti-codon, and T loops). The record is from Rfam by way of RNAcentral. Lineage: Eukaryota; Metazoa; Chordata; Mammalia; Rodentia; Cricetidae.
ACCAGGCUAGCUCGGUCGGUAGAGCAGGAGACUGUUAAUCUCAGGGUCGUGGGUUCGAGCCCCACGCUGGGUG